AGCUUUGCGCAGUGGCAGUAUCGUAGCCAAUGAGGUUUAUCCGAGGCCCGAUUAUUGCUAAUUGAAAACUAGAUUCCAUGUAGUCAUUAAUUCACACUUUUAGAUGU
This is a small nuclear RNA of Bison bison bison, 107 nucleotides long. Its record names the gene U4. It matches the Rfam family "U4 spliceosomal RNA". Rfam says of the family: U4 small nuclear RNA (U4 snRNA) is a component of the major U2-dependent spliceosome. The structure of U4 snRNA from yeast and human has been reported. The record is from Ensembl. NCBI's taxonomy places the organism in Eukaryota, Metazoa, Chordata, Mammalia, Artiodactyla, Bovidae.